This 78-nucleotide transfer RNA is filed under the name Cyanidium caldarium. Its description in RNAcentral is "tRNA-Asp". It matches the Rfam family "tRNA". From Rfam's summary of the family: Transfer RNA (tRNA) molecules are approximately 80 nucleotides in length. Their secondary structure includes four short double-helical elements and three loops (D, anti-codon, and T loops). The record is from RNAcentral. Lineage: Eukaryota; Rhodophyta; Bangiophyceae; Cyanidiales; Cyanidiaceae.
UGGGAGAGUAAUUUAAAUAAGGUUAAAAUAUUAGUUUGUCAAACUGAGAAAUGCAAGUUCAAAUCUUGUCUCUCUCGA